AGGUGUUUAGUUUAAGAAAAACAUUUGAUUUCGGCUCAAAAGCCCCUGGUUCAAGUCCAUGUACGCCUA
This 69-nucleotide transfer RNA is filed under the name Linophryne bicornis. Its description in RNAcentral is "tRNA-Arg". It matches the Rfam family "tRNA". From Rfam's summary of the family: Transfer RNA (tRNA) molecules are approximately 80 nucleotides in length. RNAcentral also lists the same sequence under 2 other names. Lineage: Eukaryota; Metazoa; Chordata; Actinopteri; Lophiiformes; Linophrynidae. The record is from RNAcentral.